UCAUCUCAUCUGAAGCGGCAUAACUCUAAAUGGAUUUCCAAUAUGACUCGUAAAACUGUGUUUCGACCGUUGUUGUGAUGACCUUGGAUUACAAAUUUGGCUUAGUACGACACUUUUCCGACUACAAUGGGGUGGAAAAACCAACGUCUCCAUGCACGCUGCCAUUUGAAGACAAUCCAAUGAAUAUCCUGGAUCUCCCUCUAGUCACGCCAUGGCCGCUCAUUACGAUUGGUUCCAGCGAUGCCUCUGGCCCCAAAUUGAGGUUUUCAAGCCUAUAGUUUCCUAAUAUUUUUCUCAAACACCAUGUUUGUACGACCAACCCAAGAGGGUGGACGGAAGUCUGAAUGAUGGAACCUACUCAAGUACCUAGUAGGGCAUUCUUACCCCGGAUAUCAUUUCGAAGUACCGGUAGAAUCUUUUCGGGUGGAUCCAUCGGAUAUUUUCGAGCAAAGAACGACUGGCUUCGACGAUGAGGAACAUAAAAAAGACCCAUUUUCUGCUAUUAACGAAUAAAGGGAUUGAUUAGGUUUAGGUCCUGUCGUUCUCUCGCUCAACAUUUCAUCUAUGGCAUUUGGGAGACUUUUCCAAAGUCGUGAGUGCAAUAUCCUAAUAUCUCCACCAAAGUACGAAGAACCGAGUACUCAUCAACUCGACUUCGAGACCCUCCCGAGGCGCCUCAUUAAUUGGACAUGCCUUCUUCGCUCUUUCCUCCAAAGCCCGAUGCUCAAUUCCGGCUUCGAAUCCGUGCCUAUCAAUGGCUGAAAUAUGCACAUGAGAAAAUUGGGACAUGCAUCAGCUGUCUUGCAACCAUCUGCGACGGGUAAGAGCAUGACAACCAGAGUGCUGGUAGUAAAUGAACUGACCCUCGUGGAAAAAACAAGUGUAACUUUUUCUCUUAUUUUCAUC
This is a long non-coding RNA of Tigriopus californicus, 906 nucleotides long. RefSeq lists it as uncharacterized. The transcript is spliced from 3 exons. The record is from RefSeq and is a predicted model, not a curated record. NCBI's taxonomy places the organism in Eukaryota, Metazoa, Arthropoda, Copepoda, Harpacticoida, Harpacticidae.